Non-coding RNA from Stegodyphus mimosarum, 73 nucleotides. Lineage: Eukaryota; Metazoa; Arthropoda; Arachnida; Araneae; Eresidae. The record is from Rfam.
GCCUUCGUGGUGUAGUGGUCUGCAUGCUCGAAGCUUAACCGAGAGGUCCGUGGUUCGAUUCCCGGCGAAGGCG